GUGUCAGCCGCCGCGGUAAUACAGGGGGGGCAAGCGUUGUUCGGAAUUACUGGGCGUAAAGGGCUAGUAGGCGGCCUGCUAAGUCCGACGUGAAAUCCCCAGGCUUAACCUGGGAACUGCGUCGGAUACUGGCGGGCUUGAAUCCGGGAGAGGGAUGCGGAAUUCCAGGUGUAGCGGUGAAAUGCGUAGAUAUCUGGAGGAACACCGGUGGCGAAGGCGGCAUCCUGGACCGGCAUUGACGCUGAUCAGCGAAAGCCAGGGGAGCAAACGGGAUUAGAUACCCCAGUAGUCC
Molecule: ribosomal RNA, 292 nt
Filed under: uncultured bacterium
Lineage: Bacteria
Description: partial 16S ribosomal RNA
Rfam family: Bacterial small subunit ribosomal RNA
Source: RNAcentral